This 411-nucleotide ribosomal RNA is filed under the name Austrochloritis ascensa. RNAcentral describes it as "partial 16S ribosomal RNA". The stretch from base 1 to 149 matches the Rfam family "Bacterial large subunit ribosomal RNA", at positions 1808 to 2022 of the family's 2925-position model. Lineage: Eukaryota; Metazoa; Mollusca; Gastropoda; Stylommatophora; Camaenidae. The record is from RNAcentral.
CAAAAACAUAGCUAUAUGAUUUAAUAUAUAGUGUUUUCUGCUCAAUGAAUAUUAAAUAGCCGCAGUACUCUGACUGUGCUAAGGUAGCGCAAUCAAUUGACUUUUAAAUGAAGUCCAGUAUGAAAGAAAUUAUGGAGGAUUACUUUCUCAUUAAUAUUUAUUGAAAUUACUUAUGAAGUGUAAAUUCUUUUAUAUAAAUAAUAGACGAGAAGACCCUAGAAAUUUUAAAGAAAUGACCUUUUUGUUGGGGCAACAAAGUAGCAUAGUUAAUCUACUAUUAUAACAAGAAAGUUAUAUCUUGUAAGAUGAAAUUACUCUAGGGAUAACAGCAUAAUUUAUAAUAGUUUGUGACCUCGAUGUUGGAUUAGGGAAAUAACAUUUAGAAGAUAAAUAAUAAGCUCUGUUCGAGCA